UUUUAAAAUGAUGUUAAAACCCU
RNAcentral lists this small nuclear RNA (23 nucleotides) under Arabidopsis thaliana (thale cress). Its description in RNAcentral is "snRNA_17413". The record is from RNAcentral. Lineage: Eukaryota; Viridiplantae; Streptophyta; Magnoliopsida; Brassicales; Brassicaceae.